Molecule: long non-coding RNA, 4171 nt
Organism: Scylla paramamosain (green mud crab)
Lineage: Eukaryota; Metazoa; Arthropoda; Malacostraca; Decapoda; Portunidae
Exons: 3
Source: RefSeq, a predicted model, not a curated record
UGUCCCCAGGUCGGACUGCCUUUCUGUCGACGACCCUAAGUGUCUUGACACCCCCCUCAACUUUUUCUUCAUUAACUUCUGCAACAUUCUCGGUCUAAGAUCUAAUUUUCAUUCUGUAGAACACCACCUCUCCUCUUUUAAACCUCAUCUUCUUUUCCUCACUGAAACUCAGGUGUCUGAGGCAACUGACAGUAGCCCCUUUUCUGUUCCCUCCUACUUUCUCUAUCCUCAUUUUCGAUCCAAAGCUGGAUGCUGCGUUUAUGUACGCAAUGACUUAACCUGCUCUCAUGCCCACGCUCUUGAAUCUCCCGAGUUUUCCACCAUCUGGCUACGACUACAGAGUCACUCUCAUACUAAAUUUAUCUGUGCUGUAUACCUCUCACCUAACUCCUCUGAUUAUAAGAAAUUCUUUGACUACUUAACUUCCAAAGUGGAGCACAUGUUCACCACCAGCUUUGGCUUUCCUCUCUCUUCAUUGACCAUCCUGGUGAACUAGCCUACAACUUUGCUAUCCUCCAUGACCUAGAGCAAUUGGUGCAACACCCUACUCGUAUUCCUGACCGUCUUGGAGAUACGCCCAACAUUCUUGACCUUUUCCUGACCUCUAAUCCUUCUGCUUAUGCUGUCACCCUUUCUUCUCCGUUGGGCUCCUCCGAUCACAAUCUCAUAUCUUUAUCUUGUCCUAUCGCUCCAAUCCCUCCUCAGGAUCCCCCUAAGCGAAGGUGCCUCUGGCGUUUUGCUUCUGCUAGUUGUGGGGACCUGAGGAGGUAUUUUGCUUAUUUUCCUUGGAAUGACUAUUGCUUCCGUGUCAGAGACCCGUCUUUGUGUGCUGAGCGCAUAACAGAGGUGAUAGUGUCUGGCAUGGAGGCGUACAUUCCUCACUCUUUUUCUCGUCCUAAACCUUCUAAACCUUGGUUUAACAUAGCUUGUUCUCAUGCUAUACAUGAUAGAGAGGUGGCCCACAAAAGGUACUUAAGCCUUCCAUCACCAGAAUCUCAUGCACUUUAUAUUUCUGCCUGGAACCAUGCCAAGUCUGUUCUCCAACUAGCCAAAAACUCCUUCAUAAACAGAAAAUGUAAAAAUCUUUCAAGAUCUAACUCCCUUCGUGAUUUCUGGCAUCUAGCCAAAAAUAUCUCCAAUAACUUUGCUUCUUCUUCUUUCCCUCCUCUAUUUCAACCAGAUGGCACCACUGCUAUCACAUCUAUUUCUAAAGCUGAACUCAUAGCUCAAACCUUUGCUAAAAACCCUACCUUGGAUGAUUCUGGGCUUGUUCCUCCCUCUCCUCCACCCUCUGACUACUUCAUGCCACGUAUUAAAAUUCUUCGCAAUGAUGAUUUCCAUGCCCUCGCUGGCCUAAACCCUCGGAAGGCUUAUGGUCCUGAUGGGGUCCCUCCUAUUGUUCUCCGAAACUGUGCCUCCGUGCUUGCACCUUGCCUAGUCAAACUCUUUCAGCUCUGUCUGUCAACAUCUAUCUUUCCUUCUUGCUUGAAGUUUGCCUACAUUCAGCCUGUUCCUAAAAAGGGUGACCGUUCUAAUCCCUCAAACUACCGUCCUAUUGCUUUAGUUUCCUGCCUAUCUAAAGUUUUUGAAUCUAUCCUUAACAGGAAGAUUCUUAAACAUCCAUCACUUCACAACCUUCUAUCUGAUCGCCAGUAUGGGUUCCGUCAAGGCCGCUCUAUUGGUGAUCUUCUGGCUUUCCUUACUGAGUCUUGGUCAUCCUCUUUUAGAGAUUUUGGUGAAACUUUUGCUGUUGCCUUGGACAUAUCAAAAGCUUUUGAUAGAGUCUGGCACAAAGCUUUGAUUUCCAAACUACCCUCCUACGGUUUCUAUCCUUCUCUCUGUAACUUCAUCUCAAGUUUCCUUUCUGACCGUUCUAUUGCUGCUGUGGUAGACGAUCACUGUUCUUCUCCUAAAUCUAUUAACAGUGGUGUUCCUCAGGGUUCUGUCCUGUCACCCACUCUCUUCUUAUUAUUCAUUAAUGAUCUUCUAAACCAAACUUCUUGUCCUAUCCCCUCCUACGCUGAUGAUACCACCCUGCACUUUUCCACGUCUUUUCAUAGACGUCCAACCCUUCAGGAGGUAAACAUAUCACACAGGGAAGCCACAGAACGCUUGACUUCUGAUCUUUCUAAAAUUUCUGAUUGGGGCAGAACAAACUUGGUAUUGUUCAAUGCCUCAAAAACUCAAUUCUUCCAUCUAUCAACUCGACACAACCUUCUAGACAACUAUCCCCUCUUCUUCAAUGACACUCAACUGUCCCCCUCUUCUAUACUGAAUAUCCUCGGUCUGUCCUUUACUUAUAAUCUGAGGUGGAAACUUCACAUCUCAUCUCUAGCUAAAACAGCUUCUAUGAAGUUAGGUGUUCUGAAACGUCUCUGCCAGUUUUUCUCACCCCCCCCCCCAGCUGCUAACUCUGUACAAGGGCCUUAUCCGUCCAUGUAUGGAGUAUGCUUCACAUGUCUGGGGAGGUUCCACUCAUACUGCUCUUCUAGACAGGGUGGAAUCAAAAGCUUUUCGUCUCAUCAACUCCUCUCUUCUAACUGACUGUCUUCAGCCUCUCUCUCACCGCCGCAAUGUUGCAUAUCUAGCUGUCUUCUACCGCUAUUUUCAUGCUAACUGCUCUUCUGAUCUUGCUAACUGCAUGCCUCCCCUCCUUCCGCGGCCUCGCUGCACAAGACUUUCUGCUUUCUCUCACCCCUAUUCUGUCCACCUUUCUAACGGAAGAGUUAACCAGUAUUCUCAAUCACUCAUCCCUUUCUCUGGUAAACUCUGGAACUCCCUGCCUGCUUCUGUAUUUCCACCUUCCUAUUGUAACGCUCCUUUUUAUUAUUUCUGUGUUUCUUUGAGUCUCCCCAAAUAAUUGUUUUCUUUGGUAGCUUGCGGUGAAGAGGAGGAUAAUAGCGGUAAUUAAAGGUUUAGUGAUUAUAUGAAAAAGUAUAUUUAUAAGGCGUGUAUUCGUGGGAGUGAUUUAGAAGUCUUGAAACAUUUGUUAUAAAUAGAGUUUACUUAUUUCAACUGUGGUUUUCUCUAAUCAGUGGUAAUACGAAAAAAUGGGAUUACAUCAUGUUGCGUCAGCCUACCAGUAACUCAUAAGGUGUCAUUCCCUAGCUUAUAAAAUAAGUUAGUAAUUUAGAAUUCAAUUAUUAACUUCAACUAAUGUCCAGCCUAUAUGCUCACCUUGCUAGCCAAUUAUUCCUGCAUUUUUAUUUAAACUCACGGUUCAGUAAAAUUAUUUGUGAAAGAAGAGAGAGAGAGAACUAGCUAAGGUUCCAAUAACUUCAGAGGCCUGGGGGUGUUGAGGGGGAGAGCACAGAAUGGCGUCUCCCUUCCCUCUGGCAACAGGUAGGUUUGAGUGCGCGUAUCAGGGUCUUAGCAAGCCUUGCUGCCUACAUUAGAGAGCGGCGCUACUCCCCAUGACUCACUUUGCUCCUGCUUGCCUGCCAUCUGCGACCGCCGACCCCGCCCUUCCCUGCUCAGCCCUACGUAGUGACGUAAGACACCCGAUGUUAUUUUGCUGUCUUGCGAAGGAAACGAUGAAGUUACAAUCCCGAAAAGAAACUUGUAUGUGUGACCGACUGACUUUCCUGUGGCUAUGGUCUGCGGGAUUGUCAAUGCGUGCUAUUGCACACCACACCGGCAGAAGUCCCCACACGGUGCGGCGAUGGCUGCGCUGGUGGUAUGAAGCUCCACUGGACCAAUGCAUCGGCUACCACUACAGUUUGCCUGACGCCGCGACCAGCACAAGCACGGAGCUGCCAAUCAGCGUGACACACAGCGACCUCUCCUCCUCCUUCACAUCACUGUCGCCAAGAUGGACUGGUGUUCGGGGGAGCACAUCGCCCCCGUCCUUGCACGACGCUGGCCUCGUUCAAUCUAGAUUGUUGCACCGCAGUACUUGUGAAGUUUUUGCGCCUUUUUGCACUCCACACUAGUAAAACGUUUUCAUAUCUUAAACAUUCACAUUCGACUUCAGCUUUCCGAAUACGUGUGCGUGUAUCUACCCCGGAGGCGAUGACGUCCCUUCCAAAGGCACAUGCACAGCAACAGUCCGAGGUCUAGACGUCUCACGUCUCAGUAAAGUCUGUGCGUGAAGGACGCUCGGAAGCUUUCUAUACACAAGUGCUCAGGUUUGCAAAUCACACAUACACACACACACACACACACACACACA